RNAcentral lists this RNase P RNA (260 nucleotides) under Crocinitomicaceae bacterium. RNAcentral's name for it is "partial RNase P RNA component class A". It matches the Rfam family "Bacterial RNase P class A", at positions 1 to 260 of the family's 367-position model. Rfam says of the family: Ribonuclease P (RNase P) is a ubiquitous endoribonuclease, found in archaea, bacteria and eukarya as well as chloroplasts and mitochondria. Its best characterised activity is the generation of mature 5'-ends of tRNAs by cleaving the 5'-leader elements of precursor-tRNAs. Cellular RNase Ps are ribonucleoproteins. The record is from RNAcentral. Lineage: Bacteria; Pseudomonadati; Bacteroidota; Flavobacteriia; Flavobacteriales; Crocinitomicaceae.
UUAGAAUGAGACUUCAUCGCUCCCAAUGGGAGAGGAAAGUCCGGACAACGCAGGGCGCCGUACUUCUCGAAAGGAAGGCUUGCUUCGGCAUGACAGAAAGUGCUGCAGAAAUUUAUACCGCCGAUGAUGGUUCCUUGAGCCAAACAGGUAAGGGUGAAAAGGCGAGGUAAGAGCUCACCAGCGACGAAGUGAUUUGUCGGCUUUGGUAAACCUUGCGGGUUGCAAGAUCGCAUAGUCUGGCAUUUGAGGAUGGCCCGUCC